CUGGGCGUAAAGCGCGCGUAGGUGGUUUGUUAAGUUGGAUGUGAAAGCCCAGGGCUCAACCUUGGAACUGCAUUCAAAACUGACUCCUAGAGUACGAGAGAGGUUAGUGGAAUUUCCUGUGUAGCGGUGAAAUGCGUAGAGAUGGGAAGGAACACCAGUGGCGAAGGCGACUGACUGGCUCGAUACUGACACUGAGGUGCGAAAGCGUGGGGAGCAAACAGGAUUAGAUACCCGGUAGUCCACGCCGUAAACGAUGUCUACUAGCCGUUGGAGGACUUGAUCCUUUAGUGGCGCAGCUAACGCGAUAAGUAGACCGCCUGGGGAGUACGGUCGCAAGAUUAAAACUCAAAUGAAUUGACGGGGGCCCGCACAAGCGGUGGAGCAUGUGGUUUAAUUCUAAGCAACGCGAAGAACCUUACCUACUCUUGACAU
RNAcentral lists this ribosomal RNA (432 nucleotides) under uncultured bacterium. RNAcentral's name for it is "bacterial SSU rRNA". It matches the Rfam family "Bacterial small subunit ribosomal RNA", at positions 554 to 987 of the family's 1533-position model. The record is from RNAcentral.